GUGCAUGUGAUGGAAAAAAAAAUUAACCUCCUGAGAAUGUGAUGUCUCCAAAGGAACCACUGAUGCAC
Non-coding RNA from Fukomys damarensis (Damara mole-rat), 68 nucleotides. The record is from Rfam. NCBI's taxonomy places the organism in Eukaryota, Metazoa, Chordata, Mammalia, Rodentia, Bathyergidae.